RNAcentral lists this ribosomal RNA (917 nucleotides) under uncultured bacterium. Its description in RNAcentral is "bacterial SSU rRNA". It matches the Rfam family "Bacterial small subunit ribosomal RNA", at positions 8 to 916 of the family's 1533-position model. The record is from RNAcentral.
AGAGUUUGAUCAUGGCUCAGGACGAACGCUGGCGGCGUGCUUAACACAUGCAAGUCGAACGGGAUCCUGGAUGCUUUUUGUGUUUGGGUGAGAGUGGCGAACGGGUGAGUAACACGUGAGUAACCUGCCCCUUUCUUUUGGAUAACCGCAUGAAAGUGUGGCUAAUACGAGAUAAUCCAUUUGGGUCGCAUGGCCUGUUUGGGAAAUGCUUAGUUGUGGUGGGGGAUGGGCUCGCGGCCUAUCAGCUUGUUGGUGGGGUGAUGGCCUACCAAGGCGGUGACGGGUAGCCGGCCUGAGAGGGUGGGCGGUCACACUGGGACUGAGAUACGGCCCAGACUCCUACGGGAGGCAGCAGUGGGGGAUUUUGCACAAUGGGCGCAAGCUUGAUGCAGCGACGCCGCGUGAGGGAUGAGGGCCUUCGGGUUGUAAACCUCUUUCGCUGGGUUGAAAGGCCAUGCUUUGGGUGUGGUUGAUUUGAACUGGUAAAGAAGUACCGGCUAACUACGUGCCAGCAGCCGCGGUAAUACGUAGGGUACUAGCGUUGUCCGGAUUUAUUGGGCGUAAAGGGCUUGUAGGUGGUUUGUCGCGUCUGUCGUGAAAUCCUGUGGCUUAACCAUGGGCUUGCGGUGGGUACGGGCAGGCUUGAGUGCGGUAGGGGAGACUGGAAUUCCUGGUGUAGCGGUGGAAUGCGCAGAUAUCAGGAGGAACACCGGUGGCGAAGGCGGGUCUCUGGGCCGUUACUGACGCUGAGGAGCGAAAGCGUGGGGAGCGAACAGGAUUAGAUACCCUGGUAGUCCAUGCUGUAAACGUUGGGCACUAGGUGUGGGGAUCGUUGUGGUUUCUGCGCCGUAGCUAACGCAUUAAGUGUCCCGCCUGGGGAGUACGGCCGCAAGGCUAAAACUCAAAUGAAUUGACGG